This 72-nucleotide transfer RNA is filed under the name Actinomycetota bacterium. RNAcentral's name for it is "tRNA-Val". It matches the Rfam family "tRNA". From Rfam's summary of the family: Transfer RNA (tRNA) molecules are approximately 80 nucleotides in length. Their secondary structure includes four short double-helical elements and three loops (D, anti-codon, and T loops). RNAcentral also lists the same sequence under 1 other name. The record is from RNAcentral. Lineage: Bacteria; Bacillati; Actinomycetota.
GGGCGGUUAGCUCAGCGGGAGAGCACUCGGUUUACACCCGAGGGGUCACUGGUUCGAUCCCAGUACCGCCCA